GGGUGAGAAUCCCGUCCACCGAUUGACUAAGGUUUCCAGAGGAAGGCUCGUCCGCUCUGGGUUAGUCGGGUCCUAAGCUGAGGCCGACAGGCGUAGGCGAUGGAUAACAGGUUGAUAUUCCUGUACCACCUAUAAUCGUUUUAAUCGAUGGGGGGACGCAGUAGGAUAGGCGAAGCGUGCGAUUGGAUUGCACGUCUAAGCAGUAAGGCUGAGUAUUAGGCAAAUCCGGUACUCAUUAAGGCUGAGCUGUGAUGGGGAGAAGACAUUGUGUCUUCGAGUCGUUGAUUUCACACUGCCGAGAAAAGCCUCUAGAUAGAAAAUAGGUGCCCGUACCGCAAACCGACACAGGUAGUCAAGAUGAGAAUUCUAAGGUGAGCGAGCGAACUCUCGUUAAGGAACUCGGCAAAAUGACCCCGUAACUUCGGGAGAAGGGGUGCUCUUUAGGGUUAACGCCCAGAAGAGCCGCAGUGAAUAGGCCCAAGCGACUGUUUAUCAAAAACACAGGUCUCUGCUAAACCGUAAGGUGAUGUAUAGGGGCUGACGCCUGCCCGGUGCUGGAAGGUUAAGAGGAGUGGUUAGCUUCUGCGAAGCUACGAAUCGAAGCCCCAGUAAACGGCGGCCGUAACUAUAACGGUCCUAAGGUAGCGAAAUUCCUUGUCGGGUAAGUUCCGACCCGCACGAAAGGCGUAACGAUUUGGGCACUGUCUCAACGAGAGACUCGGUGAAAUCAUAGUACCUGUGAAGAUGCAGGUUACCCGCGACAGGACGGAAAGACCCCGUGGAGCUUUACUGUAGCCUGAUAUUGAAAUUCGGCACAGCUUGUACAGGAUAGGUAGGAGCCUUUGAAACGUGAGCGCUAGCUUACGUGGAGGCGCUGGUGGGAUACUACCCUAGCUGUGUUGGCUUUCUAACCCGCACCACUUAUCGUGGUGGGAGACAGUGUCAGGCGGGCAGUUUGACUGGGGCGGUCGCCUCCUAAAAGGUAACGGAGGCGCUCAAAGGUUCCCUCAGAAUGGUUGGAAAUCAUUCAUAGAGUGUAAAGGCAUAAGGGAGCUUGACUGCGAGACCUACAAGUCGAGCAGGGUCGAAAGACGGACUUAGUGAUCCGGUGGUUCCGCAUGGAAGGGCCAUCGCUCAACGGAUAAAAGCUACCCCGGGGAUAACAGGCUUAUCUCCCCCAAGAGUUCACAUCGACGGGGAGGUUUGGCACCUCGAUGUCGGCUCAUCGCAUCCUGGGGCUGUAGUCGGUCCCAAGGGUUGGGCUGUUCGCCCAUUAAAGCGGUACGCGAGCUGGGUUCAGAACGUCGUGAGACAGUUCGGUCCCUAUCCGUCGUGGGCGUAGGAAAUUUGAGAGGAGCUGUCCUUAGUACGAGAGGACCGGGAUGGACAUACCUCUGGUGUACCAGUUGUCGUGCCAACGGCAUAGCUGGGUAGCUAUGUGUGGACGGGAUAAGUGCUGAAAGCAUCUAAGCAUGAAGCCCCCCUCAAGAUGAGAUUUCCCAACUUCGGUUAUAAGAUCCCUCAAAGAUGAUGAGGUUAAUAGGUUCGAGGUGGAAGCAUGGUGACAUGUGGAGCUGACGAAUACUAAUCGAUCGAAGACUUAAUCAA
RNAcentral lists this ribosomal RNA (1608 nucleotides) under Staphylococcus aureus. Its description in RNAcentral is "partial 23S ribosomal RNA". It matches the Rfam family "Bacterial large subunit ribosomal RNA", at positions 1319 to 2925 of the family's 2925-position model. The record is from RNAcentral. Lineage: Bacteria; Bacillati; Bacillota; Bacilli; Caryophanales; Staphylococcaceae. RNAcentral also lists the same sequence under 9 other names.